UAGGGAAUCUUCCACAAUGGACGAAAGUCUGAUGGAGCAACGCCGCGUGAGUGAAGAAGGGUUUCGGCUCGUAAAACUCUGUUGUUAAAGAAGAACAUAUCUGAGAGUAACUGUUCAGGUAUUGACGUAUUAACCAGAAAGCCACGGCUAACCACGUGCCAG
This 162-nucleotide ribosomal RNA is filed under the name uncultured bacterium. Its description in RNAcentral is "partial 16S rRNA". It matches the Rfam family "Bacterial small subunit ribosomal RNA", at positions 355 to 511 of the family's 1533-position model. The record is from RNAcentral.